Molecule: ribosomal RNA, 460 nt
Filed under: uncultured bacterium
Lineage: Bacteria
Description: partial 16S ribosomal RNA
Rfam family: Bacterial small subunit ribosomal RNA
Source: RNAcentral
CCUACGGGUGGCAGCAGUGAGGAAUAUUGGUCAAUGGGCGGAAGCCUGAACCAGCCAAGUCGCGUGAGGGAAUAAGGCCCUACGGGUCGUAAACCUCUUUUGCCGGGGAUCAAGGGCCGGGACGAGUCCCGGUCCGGAGAGUACCCGGAGAAAAAGCAUCGGCUAACUCCGGGCCAGCAGCCGCGGUAAUACGGAGGCUGCGAGCUUUAUCCGGAUUUAUUGGGUUUAAGGGGUGCGUAGGCGGGCUUUUAAGUAAGCGGGAAAAAUUCGGGGCUCAACCCCGUCCGGCCGUUGAAACUGGGGGCCGUGAGUGGGCGAGAAGAAGGCGGAAUGCGUGGUGUAGCGGUGAAAUGCAUAGAUAUCACGCAGAACCCCGAUUGCGAAGGCAGCCCUCCGGCGCCCUACUGACGCUGAGGCACGAAAGUGCGGGGAUCGAACAGGAUUAGAUACCCUUGUAGUC